GGUCGCCUGGCGAAAUGGCAUCGCGUCUGACUACGAUGAUGGAAUUCAUAAUCAGGAGAUUGCAGGUUCGACCCCUGCGGUGGUCA
This is a non-coding RNA of Lentinula boryana, 86 nucleotides long. Lineage: Eukaryota; Fungi; Basidiomycota; Agaricomycetes; Agaricales; Omphalotaceae. The record is from the annotation of a GenBank genome assembly.